UACAUUCUACCUAGAGACGGGUUACCAGUA
This 30-nucleotide non-coding RNA is filed under the name Rattus norvegicus (Norway rat). Lineage: Eukaryota; Metazoa; Chordata; Mammalia; Rodentia; Muridae. The record is from RNAcentral.